Molecule: transfer RNA, 59 nt
Filed under: Parasitella parasitica
Lineage: Eukaryota; Fungi; Mucoromycota; Mucoromycetes; Mucorales; Mucoraceae
Rfam family: tRNA
About the family: Transfer RNA (tRNA) molecules are approximately 80 nucleotides in length. Their secondary structure includes four short double-helical elements and three loops (D, anti-codon, and T loops).
Source: Rfam by way of RNAcentral
UUGGUUAGAGCGUGGUGCUAAUAACGCCAAGGUCACAGGUUCGACCCCUGUAGUGAGCA